GAAAUGCGAUACUUGGUGUGAAUUGCAGAAUCCCGUGAACCAUCGAAUCUUUGAACGCACCUUGCGCCCCUUGGCUAUUCCGAAGGGCAUGCCUGUUUGAGUAUCAUGAACACCUCAACUCUCAUGGCUUGCCAUGAUGAGCUUGGACUUUGGGGGUCUUGCUGGCCUGUGGUCGGCUCCUCUCAAAUGAAUUAGCUUGCCAGUGUUUGGUGGCAUCACAGGUGUGAUAACUAUCUACGCUUGUGGUUUUCCACCAGAUAACCUUCAGCGAUGGAGGUUCGCUGGAGCUCAUAAAUGUCUCUCCCCAGCGAAGACAGCUUUGUGAACGUUUGAUCUCAAAUCAGGUAGGACUACCCGCUGAACUUAA
RNAcentral lists this unclassified non-coding RNA (367 nucleotides) under uncultured Thelephoraceae. RNAcentral's name for it is "sequence contains ITS1". The stretch from base 1 to 106 matches the Rfam family "5.8S ribosomal RNA", at positions 50 to 154 of the family's 154-position model. Lineage: Eukaryota; Fungi; Basidiomycota; Agaricomycetes; Thelephorales; Thelephoraceae. The record is from RNAcentral.